UCCCCCAUCGUCUAGCGGUUUAGGACACCUCUCUUUUAAGGAGGCAGGCGGGGUUCGACUUCCCCUGGGGGUA
RNAcentral lists this transfer RNA (73 nucleotides) under Gossypium arboreum. It matches the Rfam family "tRNA". Rfam says of the family: Transfer RNA (tRNA) molecules are approximately 80 nucleotides in length. The record is from Rfam by way of RNAcentral. Lineage: Eukaryota; Viridiplantae; Streptophyta; Magnoliopsida; Malvales; Malvaceae.